CGUAAGUGUUUUUUGAAUUUUCUAUUCAGUCGGUGGGGCGAAGGGCGGCGGCCUUUGUCCUAGCCGGGGAGGGGAUUGGAAGGGGUUGGCCGAGGCGGGCGGAGACGGCGGAGGGAAGGGGCCUCCUCGCCGGUGAUUAGCGGUUGGUCGGCCAACCGGAGAUGGAGCGUGGCGCUUGAUUGCUGGAGGCGUGCCUCACAGAGAGGGCCGCGGGCUGGAGAGGAACUCAGCGGAGCUCCCCGUCGUGCUCGCCGCCAACAAGCACCCAUGCUGGGGGAGGUAGUAUUUGCCGGCGUCGGUGGGGCGCAAGGUCCGACUGUGCUGACCGUCGCUCAUCGCGUCUAAAUUUUGGGGUUUGGUUGUCUGAGGACUUUGAAAGCUGAGUGGUAACUUAGUUUUGAAUAUGUUCAAUUUAUCACUAUAGUUCUGUUUCAAAAAAAAUAUCACUAUAGUCUAGUUCACUGUCAUGGUCAGUUAUUCAUUUAUCACUACAGUCUAGUUCUUCUUAUGUUUCAUUUUUCAUUCAUCACUCAUUUUUACAAGGCUAUGAUGUGGAUAUUACCAACACCUCCAUGUAUGUUUUAUGAUAGCAUGAUAGUUGUCCUGUUCAGUUAAACAUUUCAUUUCUUCUUUAGUUUGUGUAUGAAUUCAGUUUUUUCCUGCUUCAGAUACAAACUUAGUCCUUUUAGCUGAUAGAAUUAUAUAAACUUUAGCUUUUUCUUAGAUUUGUUUUUCUCAGUUAGUCAUUACUUGUUGCAUUCAUUUCCUUUUUUAGUCUAUCAGUUUUUAGUCAAUCAGUCUGAGUCCCUAGUGCUUACUCACUCUGUCAUUUUCCAAUGAGUCCUGAUCAUUUUCUUACCUUUAUUUUUGUACCUGUAGGUUAUAUUUCACAUCUCCGAGCCAAAGUUGUCCCACACUUACUCAACAAGUUCUCCCACACUAGUGUCAUUUUAAGUACUCUCAGGGGUUAGUGUCAUUUUUUAGUUAUGUUAUUAGUUUCAGUGUUAGGUGUCAUUUUGUUCAGUUUUGUGUGUUACCACAUAGGUAGGUUAGUUAGUAUUCACUGUUCAGUCUUAAUUUAGUAUUCAUUGUUUCAGACCUAAGUCUACCACAGCCUACAACCACGAAAAAUUUGUUCUGCUUAUCUAGACUGUUUUCUUAUUUAUGAGUAUUCAGACCUUCAGCUACUUCAGUCCUUGUUCAAUCUUCUCGAAUAAAGCUGUCCAUCCUAGUUGCUUAGUUUGUCAAGAAAUCCCAGGUAGGUUAGCAAGUUUGUUCAUACAGUUUUCAGUUUAUCUGCAUUUUGUCAUCUUACUAAUUUGGCCUUCAUAUUUAUUGCUUCACUUCAUUUUUUACAGAUCAGAUGCACGCUGGAAAUGGACCAAAUGGGGCGUCAGUGGUGUUGAAUCCCAUCACAACAGAUACAUGCUUUUGACGCUCAAAGAUACAACUCAAGGAGGAAGAUCAUUUUUUGUGGGUCUGCACUAAUAAGCCUACUGACACCUGUGUCGCUUCCAGCGGUUGUAGCAGCCAAGGAGUGGUUGUUUUACGAGGGCGGAGUUUAAGAAACAACUUUUUGAAGAUAAUUGUUGUCAUAUGCUAUUCUGGCAAGAUCUCUGUUCCCAUCAUUGUUUUUUAUUGAAGUUACUGUCAGGUUU
Triticum aestivum (bread wheat) is the source of this 1658-nucleotide long non-coding RNA. RefSeq lists it as uncharacterized. The transcript has 2 exons. Lineage: Eukaryota; Viridiplantae; Streptophyta; Magnoliopsida; Poales; Poaceae. The record is from RefSeq and is a predicted model, not a curated record.